AGUGAACGCUGGCGGUAGGCCUAACACAUGCAAGUCGAACGGCAGCACAGUAAGAGCUUGCUCUUACGGGUGGCGAGUGGCGGACGGGUGAGGAAUACAUCGGAAUCUACUUUUUCGUGGGGGAUAACGUAGGGAAACUUACGCUAAUACCGCAUACGACCUACGGGUGAAAGCAGGGGAUCUUCGGACCUUGCGCGAUUGAAUGAGCCGAUGUCGGAUUAGCUAGUUGGCGGGGUAAAGGCCCACCACGGCGACGAUCCGUAGCUGGUCUGAGAGGAUGAUCAGCCACACUGGAACUGAGACACGGUCCAGACUCCUACGGGAGGCAGCAGUGGGGAAUAUUGGACAAUGGGCGCAAGCCUGAUCCAGCCAUACCGCGUGGGUGAAGAAGGCGUUCGGGUUGUAAAGCCCUUUUGUUGGGAAAGAAAAGCAGCAGGUUAAUACCCCGCUGUUCUGACGGUACCCAAAGAAUAAGCACCGGCUAACUUCGUG
RNAcentral lists this ribosomal RNA (492 nucleotides) under uncultured bacterium. Its description in RNAcentral is "partial 16S ribosomal RNA". It matches the Rfam family "Bacterial small subunit ribosomal RNA", at positions 29 to 507 of the family's 1533-position model. The record is from RNAcentral.